GAGGGGGUGCAAACGUUAUUCGGAUUUACUGGGUGUAAAGGGUGUGUAGACGGGUUGUUAAGUUCGUUGUUAAAUCUUCCGGGCCUAACCGGGAAGCUCGCGAUGGAAACUGGCAAUCUUGAGGAUGGAAGAGAGAAGUGGAAUUCUCGGAGUAGCGGUAAAAUGCGUAGAUCUCGAGAGGAACACCGAUGGCGAAGGCAGCUUCUUGGUCCAUUCCUGACGUUGAGACACGAAAGCGUGGGGAGCAAACAGGAUUAGAUACCCUGGUAGUCCACGCUGUAAACGAUGAUCACUAGGUGUUGGCCCUGUUUUGCAGGGUUAGUAUCGAAGCUAACGCGUUAAGUGAUCCACCUGGGAACUACGAUCGCAAAGAUUAA
Molecule: ribosomal RNA, 377 nt
Filed under: uncultured organism
Description: partial 16S ribosomal RNA
Rfam family: Bacterial small subunit ribosomal RNA
Source: RNAcentral